AAGCGUUACAGUUCUUUUAGAAUUUGUCUAGCAGGCUUUCUGGUUCUCACUGAAAGACACA
Molecule: small nuclear RNA, 61 nt
Filed under: Otolemur garnettii (small-eared galago)
Lineage: Eukaryota; Metazoa; Chordata; Mammalia; Primates; Galagidae
Description: U7 small nuclear RNA
Rfam family: U7 small nuclear RNA
About the family: Animal histone pre-mRNAs are spliced by a different mechanism than nuclear pre-mRNAs and self-splicing introns.
Source: Rfam by way of RNAcentral